Acyrthosiphon pisum (pea aphid) is the source of this 1007-nucleotide RNA transcript. RefSeq lists it as uncharacterized. The record is from RefSeq and is a predicted model, not a curated record. Lineage: Eukaryota; Metazoa; Arthropoda; Insecta; Hemiptera; Aphididae. The transcript has 13 exons.
CACUAACCACAGACAUUUAAUGGGCAGCUCCUGCGACGACGCGGCGAGCGAGACCAGGCUAUAAAUUCGAGUGCGGAGCACCAAAUCUAGUCAGUGUGUUCAACGGAGCUUUCCGCAGCAAGACCCACCCAGGGCAGACUUGCACGGAUAGAUUUAAUACACAUCAUUACGAUUUAAAAUCUAACAAAAAUUGUAAUAUUGACCUUACGUUAAAAUAAUCGUAAUACAUAAAUACAGUCCGCUGAAAGUUAUUUUCCUCGCCGGAACAAUCGUUGUUGGAUAACUUUUAAUAUCAUUCGUACUUUGUGUUAUUCACCGCUAACGUUGUUAUUACAUUAUUGUUGGUCCCUAAAAACAUGUUCAAACAUAUUAUUAUUGUGUUAGCUUUAUGUUUUAUGGCUUAUAUUGUUGGAAAUAUAGAUGCAACUACCGAUCGACAACGUUUUAAUCAAUUUAAUGAUUUAGUCAAAUGCUAUAAGCAAUUGUUUGAACAUGAACUUGUAAAAAGAAAUGUUGCCCGUCAAAGUGCAAAAUCAUCAGAUACAUUUAAAGACAUAAUCAAAGGUUUCUAUGCAUGGUAUAAUAUAAAAACAACAGUUGAAAAGGGAACAGGUGAAUUACAACCACGCUAUAUUAUGAUGAUCGCUUUACAAGUGAUAAAAAUCUUAAACAUAUUAAAGAAUUAUUCAAAUCUAACACUUCUGGAUACUCUGAACCACUGAAUACGUUUAUUGUUCAGUAUAAACCCGAAAGUGAUACAGAUACCUUUAAAACAGUGUCGACGUUUUGUAAUGAAUACAGCGAAACUCCUCAGUCUUAAGAUUGGUGUUAAAAAAUAUACAAUAGUAGUGCAAAAAAGCACCUUGUACUUGAACAACUUCUUUUUAGAAAGUAUAAAAUGGCAGUCAAUCAGAAAAUCACACAGAUAUUUAAGACAACGCAAAAUUUGUUGUUCUAUAUUUUAUGUAUUAUUUAAUGAUAUAAAUAAAUAAAAUUAAUUAAAACAA